Molecule: ribosomal RNA, 721 nt
Filed under: uncultured korarchaeote
Lineage: Archaea; Thermoproteati; Thermoproteota
Description: bacterial SSU rRNA
Rfam family: Archaeal small subunit ribosomal RNA
Source: RNAcentral
CCGCGGUAAAACCAGCUCCCCGAGGGGUUCCCACGCAUACUGGGCCUAAAGCGUCCGUAGCCGGCCCUGUAAGUCCGCAGUUAAAUCCGCCUGUAGACAGGCGGGCUGCUGCGGAUACUGCAGGGCUAGGGAGCGGGAGGAGCCGGGGGUAUUCCCGGGGGAGCGGUAAAAUGCGUAGAUCCCGGGAGGACCACCAGUGGCGAAGGCGCCCGGCUUGAACGCGUCCGACGGUGAGGGACGAAAGCUGGGGGAGCAAACCGGAUUAGAUACCCGGGUAGUCCCAGCCGUAAACGAUGCCGGCUAGGUGCUGGCCAAGGUUUCGACCUUGGCCAGUGUCGAAGCGAAGGCAUUAAGCCGGCCGCCUGAGGAGUACGGCCGCAAGGCUGAAACUUGAAGGAAUUGACGGGGGGGCACCACAAGGGGUGAAUGCCUGCGGCUUAAUUGGACUCAACGCCGGGAAUCUUACCGGGGGCGACAGCAGGAUGAAGGUUAGGCUGAAGACCUUACCAGACGCGCUGAGGGGUGGUGCAUGGCCGUCGCCAGCUCGUGCCGUGAGGUGUCCUGUUAAGUCAGGCAACGAGCGAGACCCCCGCCCCUAGUUGCCAGCGGCCUCCUUCGGGAGGGCCCGGGCAAACUAGGGGGACCGCCUCCGAAGAGGAGGAGGAAGGUGGGGGCUACGGCAGGUCAGUAUGCCCCUAAUCCCCCGGGCCGCACGCGGGCU